Molecule: ribosomal RNA, 460 nt
Filed under: uncultured bacterium
Lineage: Bacteria
Description: partial 16S ribosomal RNA
Rfam family: Bacterial small subunit ribosomal RNA
Source: RNAcentral
CCUACGGGAGGCAGCAGUGAGGAAUAUUGGUCAAUGGACGAGAGUCUGAACCAGCCAAGUAGCGUGAAGGAUGACUGCCCUAUGGGUUGUAAACUUCUUUUAUAUGGGAAUAAAAUGUUCCACGUGUGGGUUUUUGUAUGUACCAUAUGAAUAAGGAUCGGCUAACUCCGUGCCAGCAGCCGCGGUAAUACGGAGGAUCCGAGCGUUAUCCGGAUUUAUUGGGUUUAAAGGGAGCGUAGAUGGAUUGUUAAGUCAGUUGUGAAAGUUUGCGGCUCAACCGUAAAAUUGCAGUUGAAACUGGCAGUCUUGAGUACAGUAGAGGUGGGCGGAAUUCGUGGUGUAGCGGUGAAAUGCUUAGAUAUCACGAAGAACUCCGAUUGCGAAGGCAGCUCACUGGACUGCAACUGACACUGAGGCUCGAAAGUGUGGGUAUCAAACAGGAUUAGAUACCCCUGUAGUC